CAGAGCCGCGGUAAUACGAAGGGUGCAAGCGUUAAUCGGAAUUACUGGGCGUAAAGCGUGCGUAGGCGGUGAGUUAAGUCUGCUGUGAAAUCCCCGGGCUCAACCUGGGAAUGGCAGUGGAUACUGGCUCGCUAGAGUGUGUCAGAGGAUGGUGGAAUUCCCGGUGUAGCGGUGAAAUGCGUAGAGAUCGGGAGGAACAUCAGUGGCGAAGGCGGCCAUCUGGGACAACACUGACGCUGAGGCACGAAAGCGUGGGGAGCAAACAGGAUUAGAUACCCGGGUAGUCCCUGUCUCUUAUACC
This 301-nucleotide ribosomal RNA is filed under the name uncultured bacterium. Its description in RNAcentral is "partial 16S ribosomal RNA". It matches the Rfam family "Bacterial small subunit ribosomal RNA", at positions 509 to 808 of the family's 1533-position model. The record is from RNAcentral.